This 465-nucleotide ribosomal RNA is filed under the name uncultured Klebsiella sp. RNAcentral's name for it is "bacterial SSU rRNA". It matches the Rfam family "Bacterial small subunit ribosomal RNA", at positions 338 to 795 of the family's 1533-position model. The record is from RNAcentral. Lineage: Bacteria; Pseudomonadati; Pseudomonadota; Gammaproteobacteria; Enterobacterales; Enterobacteriaceae.
CCUACGGGAGGCUGCAGUGGGGAAUAUUGCACAAUGGGCGCAAGCCUGAUGCAGCCAUGCCGCGUGUGUGAAGAAGGCCUUCGGGUUGUAAAGCACUUUCAGCGGGGAGGAAGGCGUUAAGGUUAAUAACCUUGUCGAUUGACGUUACCCGCAGAAGAAGCACCGGCUAACUCCGUGCCAGCAGCCGCGGUAAUACGGAGGGUGCAAGCGUUAAUCGGAAUUACUGGGCGUAAAGCGCACGCAGGCGGUCUGACAAGUCGGAUGUGAAAUCCCCGGGCUCAACCUGGGAACUGCAUUCGAAACUGGCAGGCUAGAGUCUUGUAGAGGGGGGUAGAAUUCCAGGUGUAGCGGUGAAAUGCGUAGAGAUCUGGAGGAAUACCGGUGGCGAAGGCGGCCCCCUGGACAAAGACUGACGCUCAGGUGCGAAAGCGUGGGGAGCAAACAGGAUUAGAUACCCCAGGAGUU